AGUGAACGCUGGCGGUAGGCCUAACACAUGCAAGUCGAACGGCAGCACAGUAAGAGCUUGCUCUUACGGGUGGCGAGUGGCGGACGGGUGAGGAAUACAUCGGAAUCUACUUUUUCGUGGGGGAUAACGUAGGGAAACUUACGCUAAUACCGCAUACGACCUACGGGUGAAAGCAGGGGAUCUUCGGACCUUGCGCGAUUGAAUGAGCCGAUGUCGGAUUAGCUAGUUGGCGGGGUAAAGGCCCACCAAGGCGACGAUCCGUAGCUGGGCUGAGAGGAUGAUCAGCCACACUGGAACUGAGAAACGGUCCAGACUCCUACGGGAGGCAGCAGUGGGGAAUAUUGGACAAUGGGCGCAAGCCUGAUCCAGCCAUACCGCGUGGGUGAAGAAGGCCUUCGGGUUGUAAAGCCCUUUUGUUGGGAAAGAAAAGCAGCAGGUUAAUACCCCGCUGUUCUGACGGUACCCAAAGAAUAAGCACCGGCUAACUUCGU
Molecule: ribosomal RNA, 491 nt
Filed under: uncultured bacterium
Lineage: Bacteria
Description: partial 16S ribosomal RNA
Rfam family: Bacterial small subunit ribosomal RNA
Source: RNAcentral